UUAUACGAUUCAUCAAGGACCGAGUUUAGU
Molecule: non-coding RNA, 30 nt
Filed under: Mus musculus (house mouse)
Lineage: Eukaryota; Metazoa; Chordata; Mammalia; Rodentia; Muridae
Source: RNAcentral